UACGAAGGGGGCUAGCGUUGUUCGGAAUCACUGGGCGUAAAGCGCACGUAGGCGGACUCUUAAGUCGGUGGUGAAAUCCUGGAGCUCAACUCCAGAACUGCCUUCGAUACUGAGAGUCUUGAGUCCGAGAGAGGUGAGUGGAACUGCGAGUGUAGAGGUGAAAUUCGUAGAUAUUCGCAAGAACACCAGUGGCGAAGGCGGCUCACUGGCUCGGUACUGACGCUGAGGUGCGAAAGCGUGGGGAGCAAACAGG
This 253-nucleotide ribosomal RNA is filed under the name uncultured bacterium. Its description in RNAcentral is "partial 16S ribosomal RNA". It matches the Rfam family "Bacterial small subunit ribosomal RNA", at positions 524 to 776 of the family's 1533-position model. The record is from RNAcentral.